GUCUCUGUGGCGCAGUGGGUCAGGGUGUCUGGCUGUUAACCAGAAGGUUGGUGGUUCGAGUCCACCCAGGGACG
Molecule: transfer RNA, 74 nt
Filed under: Podarcis lilfordi (Lilford's wall lizard)
Lineage: Eukaryota; Metazoa; Chordata; Lepidosauria; Squamata; Lacertidae
Rfam family: tRNA
About the family: Transfer RNA (tRNA) molecules are approximately 80 nucleotides in length.
Source: Rfam by way of RNAcentral